ACUUGUAGCUCAGUUGGUAGAGCAAUUGACUCUUAAUCAAUGGGUCCAGGGUUCGAAUCCCUGCAAGUC
This 69-nucleotide transfer RNA is filed under the name chicken gut metagenome. It matches the Rfam family "tRNA". From Rfam's summary of the family: Transfer RNA (tRNA) molecules are approximately 80 nucleotides in length. Their secondary structure includes four short double-helical elements and three loops (D, anti-codon, and T loops). The record is from RNAcentral.